CUUAUAACUCCGCCUGUAGCUCUUAUAGGGUUGCUGCCGGUCCCAAGCCCGGGUAAAGGAGGAGGGUUGG
This 70-nucleotide non-coding RNA is filed under the name Schistosoma bovis. Lineage: Eukaryota; Metazoa; Platyhelminthes; Trematoda; Strigeidida; Schistosomatidae. RNAcentral also lists the same sequence under 1 other name. The record is from RNAcentral.